GAUGAACGCUGGCGGCGUGCCUAAUACAUGCAAGUCGAGCGAACAGACGAGGAGCUUGCUCCUCUGACGUUAGCGGCGGACGGGUGAGUAACACGUGGAUAACCUACCUAUAAGACUGGGAUAACUUCGGGAAACCGGAGCUAAUACCGGAUAAUAUAUUGAACCGCAUGGUUCAAUAGUGAAAGACGGUUUUGCUGUCACUUAUAGAUGGAUCCGCGCCGCAUUAGCUAGUUGGUAAGGUAACGGCUUACCAAGGCGACGAUGCGUAGCCGACCUGAGAGGGUAUCCGGCCAAAAUGAAACGGAGACACGGGCCAGACCCCUACGGGGGGCAGAAGUAGGGAAUCUUCCGCAAGGGGCGAAGGCCUGACGGGGAAACGCCGCGUGAGUGAGGAAGGUCUUCGGAUCGUAAAACUCUGUUAUUAGGGAAGAACAAAUGUGUAGUAACGAUGCACGUCUUGACGGUACCUAAUCAGAAAACCACGGCUAACUACGU
RNAcentral lists this ribosomal RNA (495 nucleotides) under uncultured bacterium. RNAcentral describes it as "partial 16S ribosomal RNA". It matches the Rfam family "Bacterial small subunit ribosomal RNA", at positions 28 to 506 of the family's 1533-position model. The record is from RNAcentral.